This 459-nucleotide ribosomal RNA is filed under the name Bacillus sp. R-27603. RNAcentral describes it as "bacterial SSU rRNA". It matches the Rfam family "Bacterial small subunit ribosomal RNA", at positions 28 to 479 of the family's 1533-position model. The record is from RNAcentral. RNAcentral also lists the same sequence under 1 other name. Lineage: Bacteria; Bacillati; Bacillota; Bacilli; Caryophanales; Bacillaceae.
GACGAACGCUGGCGGCGUGCCUAAUACAUGCAAGUCGAGCGGACCGACGGGAGCUUGCUCCCUUAGGUCAGCGGCGGACGGGUGAGUAACACGUGGGUAACCUGCCUGUAAGACUGGGAUAACUCCGGGAAACCGGGGCUAAUACCGGAUGCUUGAUUGAACCGCAUGGUUCAAUCAUAAAAGGUGGCUUUUAGCUACCACUURCAGAUGGACCCGCGGCGCAUUAGCUAGUUGGUGAGGUAACGGCUCACCAAGGCGACGAUGCGUAGCCGACCUGAGAGGGUGAUCGGCCACACUGGGACUGAGACACGGCCCAGACUCCUACGGGAGGCAGCAGUAGGGAAUCUUCCGCAAUGGACGAAAGUCUGACGGAGCAACGCCGCGUGAGUGAUGAAGGUUUUCGGAUCGUAAAACUCUGUUGUUAGGGAAGAACAAGUACCGUUCGAAUAGGGCGGCACC